UUUUAGCCCCGAUAGUAGCGAAAAUCCUCUAGUGCCGGGGUUCGGUACUAGAGAUUGUAGCGGAUAGCGGGACGGCGU
RNAcentral lists this small RNA (78 nucleotides) under Flavobacterium sp. 9R. Its description in RNAcentral is "Flavo-1". It matches the Rfam family "Flavo-1 RNA". The record is from RNAcentral. Lineage: Bacteria; Pseudomonadati; Bacteroidota; Flavobacteriia; Flavobacteriales; Flavobacteriaceae.